RNAcentral lists this ribosomal RNA (447 nucleotides) under uncultured bacterium. RNAcentral describes it as "partial 16S ribosomal RNA". It matches the Rfam family "Bacterial small subunit ribosomal RNA", at positions 29 to 523 of the family's 1533-position model. The record is from RNAcentral.
AACGAACGCUGGCGGCAGGCUUAACACAUGCAAGUCGAGCGCCCCGCAAGGGGAGCGGCAGACGGGUGAGUAACACGUGGGGAUCUGCCCAAUGGUACGGAAUAGCUCCGGGAAACUGGAAUUAAUACCGUAUGUGCCCGCAAGGGGAAAGAUUUAUCGCCAUGGGAUGAACCCGCGUCGGAUUAGCUAGUUGGUGCGGUAAAGGCGCACCAAGGCGAUGAUCCGUAGCUGGUCUGAGAGGAUGAUCAGCCACACUGGGACUGAGACACGGCCCAGACUCCUACGGGAGGCAGCAGUGGGGAAUAUUGGACAAUGGGCGCAAGCCUGAUCCAGCCAUGCCGCGUGAGGGAUGAAGGCCUUAGGGUUGUAAAGCUCUUUCGCCGACGAAGAUAAUGACGGUAGUCGGAGAAGAAGCCCCGGCUAACUUCGUGCCAGCCGCCGCCGUAA